AAAAGAAACUAACAAGGAUUCCCCUAGUAACGGCGAGUGAAGCGGGAUGAGCUCAAAUUUAAAAUCUGGCUGGUUUACUAGUCCGAAUUGUAGUUUAAAGAAGCGUUUUCGGUGGCAGUCUCGGUAUAAAUCCUUUGGAAUAGGGUAUCAUAGAGGGUGAGAAUCCCGUCUUUGACUGAGAAUAUGCUACUAUGUGAUACGUUUUCAAAGAGUCGAGUUGUUUGGGAAUGCAGCUCAAAAUGGGUGGUAAAUUUCAUCUAAAGCUAAAUAUUGGCGAGAGACCGAUAGCGAACAAGUACCGUGAGGGAAAGAUGAAAAGAACUUUGAAAAGAGAGUUAAACAGUGCGUGAAAUUGUUGAAAGGGAAACGCUUGAAACCAGUCAUGUAGUUGGAAAAUCAGUGUUCAAUUGGGGGGAAUGGGGGAGGUGUGGACCGCAAGGCUGCUCUUUUCUAUAUCUCUUUUGUUGGGCAUGCACUUUUUCUUCCGCAGGUCAACAUCAGUUUCUUUUGCUGGACAAAACUCUUGAGAAGGUAGCAGCUUUGGCUGUGUUAUAGCUCUGGAGCGAUACAGUGGAGGGGACUGAGGUUUUCGCAGCAUGUGCUCUCGGGCAAGGCCGAUUGGGUGCUAUGGGAUCGUUCGGGGUACAAUACAUGUAUUUUGCUUCGUGUCUUUUC
This 675-nucleotide ribosomal RNA is filed under the name Entomortierella jenkinii. RNAcentral's name for it is "eukaryotic LSU rRNA". It matches the Rfam family "Eukaryotic large subunit ribosomal RNA", at positions 57 to 618 of the family's 3401-position model. Lineage: Eukaryota; Fungi; Mortierellomycota; Mortierellomycetes; Mortierellales; Mortierellaceae. The record is from RNAcentral.